GUUAAUUAGCCAAACAUCACUCACAAAAGUGAUUUAGCGACAACGCUGUAAUAAAACUGUCCUCCAUUACUAUGAACUUUGUGGAAACAUGAAGGAGCAUCUCACUAUAAGAGAAGUGUCUGUUUUUAGAGCUGCCCCCAAACCCCGUCCCGACCGCUUCUGCUCUACGUACAAAAUGCUAAAAUCUAGGAUUCUGUUAACCUGCAGCGGUGACGCCAAGCUCUCCUGCAACCGUUCCGACGGCGAGUCCCAUUAUUGUCAUUUUUAAAAACAUUAAUAUCAUGACCUGGGUUUGAGUAACAACACGUUUUCACAGAAACCACAGACACAAGUUUCCUGAUGUCGGGGGGAAGCCUGAUUCAGGUAAAAAGACGAAGGCCCCCCCCUUCCCUUUGCUGGACAGACUAAAAAACACUAAACAUCGACAAAGCCGCUGGACUGAACAAAAUCAAGUAAACCAAACAAUCAACUUAGUAAACAUGCAUUUCCAAAACAUCUAUAAAAAUAGAUUUUAUAGUGAGAAAUAUUUUUUUCAUCUCUUUAGAAAUCUUUAAAAUUGUUUAUUGUCCUGAAAUACUACCGUCAUCUUUUUUUUUUAUUUCCUGUGAGUUGCAGGGUCCUUGAAGUCAACAGGCUUGGUGGAAACCAAUGAAAUACACCCAAUGCACAAGACAAGCACAAGGGACUCUGGGAAUGUUUCACAUCUGAGGCUUUUAAGGUUCCAGUCUACUAAAUGCUACUUCCAUUUUUUUAUUCCUCAUCACAUUUGAGCUGGAAACUGCAAUCCCAGAAUUCCUCAGUGGCAAAAAAUGGCUCCUUAAACCUUUGAGCUAGUUUAGAGUCUUUUAUCUCUGAGAAGAGAGAGGUCUGUAGACUACACGACAGCAAAGCAAUAGCAGAAACAGAAAAAAGUAAUACAUACAAAAAGGAAGCAGCAAAAAAGGUGACACUACAUUGGAAGGCCACCACACAAAAUCCACUAACCUCCACUGGUUCACUAAGACUGCAAGGGGGCUGGAAGGAGAACAAAUGUUUCCCCGUCCAAGCCCGGACUAGCACAGAGAGGACAAAGGAC
Molecule: long non-coding RNA, 1075 nt
Filed under: Sinocyclocheilus anshuiensis
Lineage: Eukaryota; Metazoa; Chordata; Actinopteri; Cypriniformes; Cyprinidae
Description: lncRNA (ENSSANG00000028610.1)
Source: RNAcentral